CAGCAGUGCUUGGCAGGUAUGGAGGGUCAUGCUUUUGGAGGGCACCAGCAGUAGAUAUCCUGCUUUUGUCUUGGCAGAGAUAGGAAACUGGAUCCAUAGACAGCAGAGACAGGGGAGGAAUAAUAUGACCUAUACCAUGUGUCAUGCAGGAGGGCUGAGUCACAGAGCACACCAGAGACUGUGCUUAUGAUUUCCAGAAACAUGUUGGAGAAAUCUGAGGAGGAUUGGAGUUUCUGCAGAGUUGGCUGAAUACGCAAAAAUACUUGCUGGCCUAUGAAUGAGACCUAGGACUCCAUUGAGAUACAGGCAUCCAGAGUCCUAUGGCUAUUGAUACUCAGCAUCCUGGAUUCACUCACAUGGAUGAGCCCCAGCUGGAAUGCCUAGAAGACAUGGGACAGCUGGAUCUCUCUCCACACGGUUUUUCAUUGUUGCCUCAGGUUCUAAUAAAAGCAAAAGCUGCAAGGUCCUCUGAGGCAAAGACUUAGAAAUACCACAGUGUUACUUCUGCUGCAUUCUGUUGAUCAAAAAUCCCACAAUGCCAGCUUCAUUUAAAGAGGUCAUAAGACCCCCAUUUCAGAAGGGGUCCUGCCUGAUGCCUGGGAAGAAGAAAUACUGCACAGAGAUGCCAAGAAAAAUCAGGACAGGCCUCGCUGGGUUUCCUCACUUAGUCCAUCAGUAUUAGAUAAUACCCCUUUUGUCCAGUCACAUCUCUACUCAAUUAUCAAUCAUGCCUAUCAAAUGCAAUCUCCAGAGAAGGCUUAAGAAGAAAGGGUGUGAAGAGCUUCUGGACAGCUGAAUUCAUGGAGGCUUGCAGGAAGGAGAACAAUAACUCAUCAUGUGCCAAAAGGGUAGUGCAACCCAGCUCCACAGAGACAGAAGCUCCUGUGCUCAGGACCCUUCCAGACCUCGCCUUGGAUAUGUUUUCAUACGGCUGUUUAUUUGUAUCCUUUAAAUAUUCUUUAUAAUAAAUUCAUAAAUGUAAAUAAGUGUUUCCCUGAGUUUUGUGAGCUGCUCUAACAAAUUAAUUGAGCCUAAAGAGGGGGUCCUGGGAACUCCAACUUGAAGCCAAACAGUUAGAAGUUCCAGAGGCUUGGACUUGCAAAUGAUGUCGGAAGUAGGGGCAGUCUUAAGCCCUCAACCUGAUGGAUCUGAUACCAUCUCCAGGUAGAUAGUGUCAGAGUUGAAUUGGAUUGGAGGACAUACAGCUGGUGUCCACUGCAGAACUGAUUACUUGUAUAUUAGCUUGUUUUCAUGCAACUGAUAAAGACAUACCCAAAACUGGGGGAAAGAAAGGUUUAAUUGAACUUAAAGUUCCACUUGGCUGGGGA
Long non-coding RNA from Macaca mulatta (Rhesus monkey), 1328 nucleotides. RefSeq lists it as uncharacterized. Lineage: Eukaryota; Metazoa; Chordata; Mammalia; Primates; Cercopithecidae. The record is from RefSeq and is a predicted model, not a curated record.